CCUGAGCACGGUGUUAUGUGCACUUAACCAGGUGCCCCCAUCACCCAGCCCCUGUGGAUGCUUUUCUGGUUGUCUCCGUCCUCCUCCCCUGGGCAGAAGAGACCAGGAGGCAGAGGAGAGAUCUCUGCAAGAGGGAGAUGAGAAGAAAGACACAGAGAGGCCUAGGAGAAGCUGCAUAGAAGGCAGCUGCAAGCUGGUCUCCAACGGCCAGGCCAGGUGCCAGUACCCCCACACCGGGAUACCAUAAGGCACCUAAUGGCGCAGGUCUGGUCACCAAGCAGAAACAGAAGCUCAGCUGGCCGUGGCAGAUUCGCACCUGACUCGAGGCCUCCCACCACCUGUUCUGACUGGAAGAGAUCCGCAGAACACACACCAGGAGUCCCUGGCAGUGGACAGGGAACGGGAAACUCGGAGAGUCCAUGUAGAACAGGAUGUCUUGGCCACAUCGGUGAAACUCCAGAAGAAGUUUCGGGAAACUCAGGAUUUGGACAGUGAGAGACAACUGAAAGUUCCGUUCCUGACAUGACCCUGCAGAGGACAGCACAGAGGAGCUGAAGACAGGCAGUAUCAACAUUCACGGCACAAUUAGGAGAAAGACUUGGGAAGGUUCGUGGUUAUUAUCCCAUGUAAAAACCCACUCUGAAUAGCUCUUGAUUCAUUUUUUAGUUCCUUCAUCUAAUAUUUAAGAUCUUCCCUCUUCUGUUUGGCAAAUGAAAAAAGCAGAACUCGACAUGGCAAAUCAAACCCGUGUGCCCCAUUCUUUCAGCCUGCACCGCCCCAAGGCAGUCUCUGAGUUCUUGACGCAGAUGGACACAAGACAGAACCAUUUUGUAGAAUUCUGAAAUGACUCGUUUGCAUUUUGACAAAACUCAGAGAAACAGUCAAAUUUUUCAAAGCUGUGAAACUGGAGAGGGGGCUGUCCUUAAAAUUCUACCAAUCAGAGGGGGCUGGGUGGUAGUGCUGCGGGUUAAGCGCACAUGGUACAAA
This is a long non-coding RNA of Erinaceus europaeus (western European hedgehog), 987 nucleotides long. RefSeq lists it as uncharacterized. Lineage: Eukaryota; Metazoa; Chordata; Mammalia; Eulipotyphla; Erinaceidae. The record is from RefSeq and is a predicted model, not a curated record. The transcript is spliced from 3 exons.